This 395-nucleotide long non-coding RNA is filed under the name Homo sapiens (human). RNAcentral describes it as "non-protein coding lnc-C12orf42-4:1". Lineage: Eukaryota; Metazoa; Chordata; Mammalia; Primates; Hominidae. The record is from RNAcentral.
AAAGUUUUGGAUCUGACAGAGCAGUUAGAGGAGAGGAUCUAUCAGCUUUAUAAUGAUAACAUCAAGAUCAUCUAGGAAAAGCUCCAGGGGUUCACUCAGAAAGUGGCAAAGAUCAGCCAUUUGGAAACAGAGCUUAACCAAGAUGGCCACAGAAGGAGACUGUGUACAAAGACCUGUGCAUCCGGUCUGAGCAGAGCCUAAGACUCAGACAUGGGCUAGACCACCAUGUCCCAGUGACUCACAGCAUUCAGAUGUGUUCAUUUCUCCUGUGGCUGAAACUACUUCUCAGGUGGUUACCAGUAAAUGCCGUCCCUACCACGUUCCCAUGACUCAGAGCACCCAGACGUGUUCAUUUCUCCUGUGACUGAAACUACUUCUCAGGUGGUUACCAGUCA